UGACCCGUUCUUAAAAUAUACUUCCCACCUGAUUAUUCUUAUUUUUAUAGCUAUUUGGCAAGGUUUAGAAGACAGAAUGGGAGCUAAAAAUUGAUAAAUGAUGAUCCAUUAUUGAACAAGCUUAUAUCGAGUAAUUAUUGUACAAAUACUACAGAUUUGCGAUAUUCAUGCAUACCAGAAAAGAGCUACUACUCCUUGGAGAAUGAGGUUGACCUAGUUGCAUUUGACAAGGUUGACUGCUAUGUGACCAAAGAGGACCUAAUAAAUCAUGGCAUUUGAAGAACAUCCUGAGUUCACAGGUUUUCUUUAUUCUGACAUAUGGAAAACAGCUUUUAACUACUAGUGAAUAAUCGAUUUUUCAUUACAAUUUUAUUAACA
This 378-nucleotide long non-coding RNA is filed under the name Homo sapiens (human). RNAcentral describes it as "non-protein coding lnc-GJA10-5:1". Lineage: Eukaryota; Metazoa; Chordata; Mammalia; Primates; Hominidae. The record is from RNAcentral.